AAAAUCAUUGAUUACAGGUGGCCAUUGGCAGUAUAUUAUUUUGUUGGCUCUACCUUUAGUGCAAAGACGAUUUCCCUUCAUGUUUGAUGUGGUUUUCUUCAACAAUGUACACCGUCUACUGCAUGUGCUACAUCGUCAAAGACCUCCUACCCCACCAAGACUCGUUUAUCAACCACAACCAACUCUAAGAAGAUCUAACAGGGUACGGCGA
This 211-nucleotide long non-coding RNA is filed under the name Mytilus galloprovincialis (Mediterranean mussel). Lineage: Eukaryota; Metazoa; Mollusca; Bivalvia; Mytilida; Mytilidae. The record is from RNAcentral.